GGGAAAGAAAGGGGAUUGAUUUAGGUGGCUCUACAGAAAGAAAUAAAAAGCCAAGAAAGAAUGUAAAAAAAUAGACAGUUCUUGCUAUGGAGCUAGGUUACUCUUUCACCCAUUAUGUACUCAAGUUUCUUAAGGCUACAUAAAUGGAAACUGAACAACAGAUGCAACAAUCUGUGGAAACUUGGAUGCACUGUAAAUCUACUGGGAUUAUAUCUGGGAAGACAAUGUUUGCAUUCAGGAUAAGACGAGCCUGGAGCCUAUCCCUUGGAUCUCAGGGCACAAGGUGGAGGACACUGGAGUACCUGGAGGAAACCCCAAAAGAAUGGGGAGAACAUAUAAAUUCCAUGCACCAAGGCUGGAGGCGGGAAUCAAACCCCCAACCCUUGAGGCCCUUGGGAGCUGUUGAACACGGACAGUGGGAGACGCCGCUUGAAACAGCAAAGCCCUCCAACCUGCAAUCUUUCUCAAGAGCCAAAGUUGGCUGAUGAUGAGACUUUGUCAAAGAUGAACCUGCCACGAAGUUUUACUCAAUAAACUUUACACACUGC
Long non-coding RNA from Ictalurus punctatus (channel catfish), 548 nucleotides. The record is from Ensembl. NCBI's taxonomy places the organism in Eukaryota, Metazoa, Chordata, Actinopteri, Siluriformes, Ictaluridae.